RNAcentral lists this ribosomal RNA (406 nucleotides) under Staphylococcus epidermidis NIHLM067. RNAcentral describes it as "bacterial SSU rRNA". It matches the Rfam family "Bacterial small subunit ribosomal RNA", at positions 1 to 395 of the family's 1533-position model. The record is from RNAcentral. Lineage: Bacteria; Bacillati; Bacillota; Bacilli; Caryophanales; Staphylococcaceae.
UUUUAUGGAGAGUUUGAUCCUGGCUCAGGAUGAACGCUGGCGGCGUGCCUAAUACAUGCAAGUCGAGCGAACAGACGAGGAGCUUGCUCCUCUGACGUUAGCGGCGGACGGGUGAGUAACACGUGGAUAACCUACCUAUAAGACUGGGAUAACUUCGGGAAACCGGAGCUAAUACCGGAUAAUAUAUUGAACCGCAUGGUUCAAUAGUGAAAGACGGUUUUGCUGUCACUUAUAGAUGGAUCCGCGCCGCAUUAGCUAGUUGGUAAGGUAACGGCUUACCAAGGCGACGAUGCGUAGCCGACCUGAGAGGGUGAUCGGCCACACUGGAACUGAGACACGGUCCAGACUCCUACGGGAGGCAGCAGUAGGGAAUCUUCCGCAAUGGGCGAAAGCCUGACGGAGCAAC